AAAACACUUAAAAAACGGCUAAAGCACAGUAUAGAAAAAAUAAGAAAAAUAUGACCCACAAAAGAAAUAAAGAAAUUUAGACGCACAGAGGGGAACAAACGCGAAAUAGAAAAGGGGAUAAUGGGAGAUUUUCCUGAGAUUUAAUUCUCAAGAUAAGACAAAAUUAAAAUCAUCUUUAUCCUUACAUAACUACAGGUUAAAUUAAAAUCCCAAACCCCUUCCAACUCCUCUCAC
RNAcentral lists this long non-coding RNA (234 nucleotides) under Gossypium raimondii (Peruvian cotton). RNAcentral describes it as "long non-coding RNA (GRAI_LNC007434)". Lineage: Eukaryota; Viridiplantae; Streptophyta; Magnoliopsida; Malvales; Malvaceae. The record is from RNAcentral.